RNAcentral lists this ribosomal RNA (1341 nucleotides) under metagenome. RNAcentral's name for it is "bacterial LSU rRNA". It matches the Rfam family "Bacterial large subunit ribosomal RNA", at positions 562 to 2017 of the family's 2925-position model. The record is from RNAcentral.
GCAUACAAACAGUAGGAGCCCGCAAGGGUGACUGCGUACCUCUUGUAUAAUGGGUCAUCGACUUAGUCUAACUAGCAAGCUUAAGCCGUUAGGUGUAGGCGCAGCGAAAGCGAGUCUGAAUAGGGCGUUAAGUUAGUUGGAUUAGACCCGAAACCAAGUGAUCUAGGUAUGAGCAGGUUGAAGGCAAGGUAACACUUGCUGGAGGACCGAACCCACGUAAGUUGAAAAUUGCGGGGAUGACUUGUUCCUAGGGGUGAAAGGCCAAUCAAACUUGGAAAUAGCUGGUUCUCCGCGAAAGAUAUUUAGGUAUCGCCUCGGACGAAUACUGUGGGGGGUAGAGCACUGGAUGGGCUAGGGGAUCUCACCGAUUUACCAAACCUAACCAAACUCCGAAUACCCACAAGUAAUAUCCGGGAGACAGACGGCGGGUGCUAAGGUCCGUCGUCAAAAGGGAAACAGCCCUAACCUACAGCUAAGGUCCCCAAGUGAUAGUUAAGUGGGAAAGCAUGUGGGAAUGCUUAGACAACCAGGAGGUUGGCUUAGAAGCAGCCAUCCUUUAAAGAUAGCGUAACAGCUCACUGGUCAAGCGUUCCUGCGGCGAAGAUGUAACGGGUCUAAAACUAUCCACCGAAGCUUAGGGUUUACUCGUUUACGAGUAAGCGGUAGCGGAGCGUUCCGUAAGCCUGCGAAGCGGUACCUGUGAGGGGCCGUGGAGGUAUCGGAAGUGCGAAUGAUGACAUGAGUAGCGACAAAAAGUGUGAGAGACACUUUCGCCGAAAGUCCAAGGGUUCCUGCGCAAUGCUAAUCAGCGCAGGGUUAGUCGGCCCCUAAGGUGAGGCAGAAAUGCGUAGCCGAUGGGAACCACGUUAAUAUUCGUGAACCAGAUGGUAGUGACGGAUCGCGCAGGUUCGUAUCCCCUUAUUGGAUUGGGGGUGCGAUGAGCCGGUUCCAGGAAAUAGCUCCAUCGACAUUGACCGUACCCUAAACCGACACAGGUGGACUGGUAGAGUAUACCAAGGCGCUUGAGAGAACUAUACUGAAGGAACUCGGCAAAUUGCAUGCGUAACUUCGGGAUAAGCAUGACUUCUAUCGGGGCAACCCUUUAGGAGUGGCACAAAAGAGGGGGUGGCGACUGUUUACUAAAAACACAGGGCUCUGCGAAGUUGCAAAACGACGUAUAGGGUCUGACGCCUGCCCGGUGCCGGAAGGUUAAAAGGAGAGGUGAAAGCUUUGAAUUGAAGCCCCGGUAAACGGCGGCCGUAACUAUAACGGUCCUAAGGUAGCGAAAUUCCUUGUCGGGUAAGUUCCGACCUGCACGAAUGGCGUAACGACUUCCCCACC